GGAGGAGUGGCCGAGCGGUCGAAGGCGGCGGUCUUGAAAACCGUUGAGCCCACGGGCUCCGGGGGUUCGAAUCCCUUCUCCUCCGCCC
RNAcentral lists this transfer RNA (88 nucleotides) under Sandaracinus sp. RNAcentral's name for it is "tRNA-Ser". It matches the Rfam family "tRNA". From Rfam's summary of the family: Transfer RNA (tRNA) molecules are approximately 80 nucleotides in length. The record is from RNAcentral. Lineage: Bacteria; Pseudomonadati; Myxococcota; Polyangiales; Sandaracinaceae.